CAGCAAAGCAGUGGAUCUCCCAGCCAGCCAGAGAAGGAUUUGAAGGUGUCUUUCAAGCUGGAGAACCCGGGGUGCUUUAUUCAGCUAGAAGUUGUGUGAAGAUCUAAAAUGAGAACACGUUGAGAUGAAAAGAGGCUCCAAGAAGCUGAGCAGCCUCAGGAGCCCUGAAAGAAGGACCAGCUCAGAAUUCCUUGAUGGAAAAUACCCUCACCCCGACACCAGCUCUCAGUUGUGUUCAUUCAUGGCAGGGUUUCCUUCCGAACUGGCUACACAGUGGAUAAAAAAUUAGGUUAAUUUAUGGAGAAAUAGUUCUUGGAAUGAACCAGACCAUUGAGUUAUUCCAGCAGCAGAACUUCCACUCCAUGUCCCUGCUUCAAAGUUGGGAAAUUUUGAAGUAAACCUCUGUGUGUUUGUGUUGCAGUGAUGAAGAAAUGCACAGGAAAUAAA
Long non-coding RNA from Lepidothrix coronata (blue-crowned manakin), 447 nucleotides. RefSeq lists it as uncharacterized. The record is from RefSeq and is a predicted model, not a curated record. The transcript has 3 exons. NCBI's taxonomy places the organism in Eukaryota, Metazoa, Chordata, Aves, Passeriformes, Pipridae.